Molecule: transfer RNA, 65 nt
Filed under: Physella acuta
Lineage: Eukaryota; Metazoa; Mollusca; Gastropoda; Physidae
Description: transfert RNA-P(CCA)
Source: RNAcentral
UUCAGAAACAGUUAAGGUAACGUUAACUUUGGGAGUUAGAAAGUAGAAGUUUUCUAUUUCUGAAU